UACGUAGGUGGCAAGCGUUAUCCGGAUUUACUGGGUGUAAAGGGCGUGUAGGCGGGACUGCAAGUCAGAUGUGAAACCCACGGGCUCAACCCAUGGCCUGCAUUUGAAACUGUAGUUCUUGAGUGAUGGAGAGGCAGGCGGAAUUCCGUGUGUAGCGGUGAAAUGCGUAGAUAUACGGAGGAACACCAGUGGCGAAGGCGGCCUGCUGGACAUUAACUGACGCUGAGGCGCGAAAGCGUGGGGAGCAAACAGG
This 253-nucleotide ribosomal RNA is filed under the name uncultured bacterium. RNAcentral describes it as "partial 16S ribosomal RNA". It matches the Rfam family "Bacterial small subunit ribosomal RNA", at positions 524 to 776 of the family's 1533-position model. The record is from RNAcentral.